UGGAUUUCGUAUUUCUUUGGUA
This 22-nucleotide microRNA is filed under the name Medicago truncatula (barrel medic). Its description in RNAcentral is "mtr-miR5212-5p". Lineage: Eukaryota; Viridiplantae; Streptophyta; Magnoliopsida; Fabales; Fabaceae. The record is from miRBase by way of RNAcentral.